AGGUGAACCUGCGGAGGGAUCAUUACCGAGUUUACAACUCCCAAACCCAAUGUGAACGUUACCAAACUGUUGCCUCGGCGGGGUCACGCCCCGGGUGCGUCGCAGCCCCGGAACCAGGCGCCCGCCGGAGGAACCAACCAAACUCUUUCUGUAGUCCCCUCGCGGACGUAUUUCUUACAGCUCUGAGCAAAAAUUCAAAAUGAAUCAAAACUUUCAACAACGGAUCUCUUGGUUCUGGCAUCGAUGAAGAACGCAGCGAAAUGCGAUAAGUAAUGUGAAUUGCAGAAUUCAGUGAAUCAUCGAAUCUUUGAACGCACAUUGCGCCCGCCAGUAUUCUGGCGGGCAUGCCUGUCCGAGCGUCAUUUCAACCCUCGAACCCCUCCGGGGGAUCGGCGUUGGGGAUCGGGACCCCUCACACGGGUGCCGGCCCCGAAAUACAGUGGCGGUCUCGCCGCAGCCUCUCCUGCGCAGUAGUUUGCACAACUCGCACCGGGAGCGCGGCGCGUCCACGUCCGUAAAACACCCAACUUUCUGAAAUGUUGAACUCGGAUCAGGGAGAAUGACCGU
Molecule: ribosomal RNA, 567 nt
Filed under: Trichoderma sp. ASR-226
Lineage: Eukaryota; Fungi; Ascomycota; Sordariomycetes; Hypocreales; Hypocreaceae
Description: eukaryotic LSU rRNA
Rfam family: 5.8S ribosomal RNA (bases 209-362)
Source: RNAcentral